GGCUUCCUCAGCCGACUCGUAAGUUCCAAGCCAAACCCGUGCGCCGUUUUUAGCCGGAUCUCUUAUUUCCGCUGCAAAUUUUCCCCAUGGCCUUUGUCUAACGCCCCUGUAAUGCCUUCCUUUAGGCUGCAAAGCCGCUGGAGCCACUGUCGGCGGAGAAACAGAAGUACUCAUAGCUGGCUCAAUCUCCUCCCUCGGCUCGAGUUUCACUUCCUCGGACGUUAAAUUUGACGGCGUCCAUCCGAUACUAAAAGCGUCUUGUAGAAACCCAUAAAUUACCAUAUCUUCGGAAUCG
Molecule: unclassified non-coding RNA, 295 nt
Filed under: Hevea brasiliensis (rubber tree)
Lineage: Eukaryota; Viridiplantae; Streptophyta; Magnoliopsida; Malpighiales; Euphorbiaceae
Source: RNAcentral